UACGAAGGGGGCUAGCGUUGCUCGGAAUCACUGGGCGUAAAGCGCACGUAGGCGGAUCUUUAAGUCAGGGGUGAAAUCCUGGAGCUCAACUCCAGAACUGCCUUUGAUACUGGGGAUCUCGAGUCCGGAAGAGGUAAGUGGAACUCCGAGUGUAGAGGUGAAAUUCGUAGAUAAUCGGAAGAACACCAGUGGCGAAGGCGGCUUACUGGUCCGGUACUGACGCUGAGGUGCGAAAGCGUGGGGAGCAAACAGG
RNAcentral lists this ribosomal RNA (253 nucleotides) under uncultured bacterium. RNAcentral's name for it is "partial 16S ribosomal RNA". It matches the Rfam family "Bacterial small subunit ribosomal RNA", at positions 524 to 776 of the family's 1533-position model. The record is from RNAcentral.